GCUAACAAAGAAAUAAAAAUAGUGGAAGGUUAAACAUUAUGACAAAUGAAAAUAAGAUUCUUCACUUGUAUCCUUAUUAUUAAAUCUGGUGAAAAGAUCAAUUAAGCUAAAGGUCAAAUACUAGACAUGUAAUAAUCAUUGGUAUGAUUUUGAAAUGAUUAUUUGCAACUCAUAAGUGUGCAAAGAGCUGGUAAAUUGAGUACAAGGGAAUUUACCCUAUAAAGUGAUUAUUUUAUUUUAUUUUAUUUAUUUGCUACAUGAAGAGGUGUGGUGAACAUAUGACACACAUUAUCAAGUUUUUUAAGGCUAUUAUUCUCUUUCUUUUCAUAUUUCUUAUUGCAACCAAUGCUGCAUAUAUUAAAAAUUGUAAGGAUUCCAUGGGCUGUUUGGGUUAUUGUUUCUUUCCUUCAUAUGGGUUAUGCAUCAAGGAUAUAUGUAGAUGUGUAUUCUAACAGCUAAUUUAUAACAUAAUUGUAUGUUAUUUCUAAACUUACAAUAAUUUUAUGAGAUGUUGGCUCAAAACAUAUCACCAUUAACAUAAUUAUAAUUUUAUUUGGACGUCGCAAUGCUUGUUACUUGUAUGAUUACUCUCACGUACUCCCUUCUGCUCAAAAUAAUUGGCAUUUUUGCAAAAAAAUAUUAUCAUCUCAAAAUAAAUGAUCUUGUCAUUAAUUACUUUUAUCCUACUCUCCUUGUUUAAUUAAUAGGAACCCUAAUUAAUAUACUCACUUCACUCUUAAUUCAACAAUUCAAAUUCUAUUAGGACAAAAUUCAAUAUGAGUAACCAAUCAUUAGUUGGUUUGGUGGUAAUUGGUGCUGAACUUAGUAGAGAAGAUCAUAGUUCGAUCUCCUGCAACUGCGAUCGGGAGGGGGCUGAAACCACUUGAUGCCUGAAUAUAUUGACCCUCGAACCAGAUUAAACUGGUGGUGAAAGAAGAAAAAAAAGACAAAAAUCAAUAUGAGUAGUAAUUGUGCAUAUAAGUGUUUUAUAAAUAAGAGCAUCCACAAUGGAGGUACUUAUUUUUUGGUACUUAACUUUUUUUUAUAAGUAAUAUUAGUUGUUAGUAUUACAAUGUUAUGUUAAUUGUAUAGAGGUCUGGGGGUUAGGCAGUUAAGAGAGUUUAACUUGACACUUUUAGGCAAAUGGUGUUGGAGGAUGCUAGUGGAUCGAGAGGAAAUGUGGUUUAGAGUGUUGGCAGCUCGAUCGGUAUGGGAUGGAGGGAGAGAGGCGAGGGUCUUUGUGGUGGCGAGAGAUAGCGAGUAUUAGGGAGGGUGGUGGAGCGGUAUAGGGGGCAGAUGGAUUGGGGAUCAUGUUGUCAGGAGAGUGGGAAACGGGGCCGAUACUUUUUUCUGGACAGAUCCAUGGUUGGAUGGAGUACCUCUAUGUGAGGGGUUUGGGCGCUUGUUUGUUUUGGGCGCCGAGACAAAACCGCGUACGGUGGUUGAGAUGUUCUCUUUAGAGUGGGGGACGGAGGGGACGACCUGGGUGUGGCAGAGGCAGUUGAGGGCGUGUCAGUCUUUACUUUCUAACUUUUCUUUUCAGGCACAGUCUUCAGAUAGGUGGCAGUGGCAGCCAGACCCCGAUACAAGCUACAUUGUAAGGGGCACAUAUCACCUCUUGACUACUCUUGACUCGAUUACUCUGGACGAGGCGGAUCACCUCAUUUGGCACCCUCAGGUUCCCUUGAAGGUCUCAAUUUUUGCGUCGCGUUUAUUGUGUGAUGAUGACAAUCAAUUAUAUGAUGUUUUUAGUACUAUUUUAGAGUAGUUUCCGUAGCAAUUGAAGACCAAAUGCAAGCAAAAACCUAAAGAUACGAAGUUACUUGCCCAAGAAUCAAGAAACGUGGAAAAUGCAUAAAGAAGGGCAAAAAAAUGAAGAAAUUGAAGAAUCUAUCGCACCACGAUGGAUGACCAUCGUAGAACGAUGAAAAAAUACCACAUCGUACCAAAAACACCAUAACUUGAGAUAUGAUUGUCGGAUCGAGGUCCGUGACCAUGCGUUGGAAAGCUAAGACAAAGAGAUACAACUUUCAUGUUGAAGAAAAAAUCAAAUUAUGGACGCUAUCAUGGCUACGAUGGAUUACAUCGUGGCCACGAUGAGAAGAACAAACUGCGCAACAAACUUGAUUCCAUCGUACCAACGAUGAGAUUGAUCGCAACACGAUGAAAGGCGGUUUAACAACAAAGAAUAUCUGAAUCAAAUAUUUCAUCGUGCCAUGAUAAGAUCCAUCGUGGCCACGUUGAGGUGAAUUUGAACGCCAUCGUGGCUACGAUGGAUACGAUGGGUCGAAGGAAAAAGCCCAAAUCCAUCUAAAAAACUAUAAAUAGAGUCCUCCUCCUUCACAAUUAUUCAUUCAGAGGUUCAGAGAACUAUAAGCUCUCUAAGGAGCAAAGGAGGAGGAGCAAGGAGGGCCAAGGAGCUCUCAAGAGAGGGAGACUCUCCCCCACCAUUAGGAGGCGAACAUCCUCCGCAAGGAAUCAAGAGCCACCAUCACGUGACAGGUUACCCACUGAGUCAAACCUAGUCACCCGAGGCAUAUUAUCUCCCUAGGCUCAUUUUUUCGUAGCUGAAUGUGGGAUGGCAGAUUCAGCUCAUUACAUAUUCAUCUCUUGCAGCACUUUUGGUUCUCUUUGGGCUUUAGUUCACACUUGGAUUGACAUUUCACCGACGGGUUUCACUUCUAUCUGAGAUCACUUUGUUCAGUUUGCUCUCUCAGCUGGUGGAUCUAGAGCACACCGGUCUCAUUUGGCUUGCUAGCGUAUGGAUUGUGUGGACGAAAAGAAAUCACAGGUUGUUCAGAGGCUCAGAUAGUACUCUCACGUGUACACAUUAUUUAUUUAUAAUUUUUUAAUAAUACUAGUUUAAAGACCCUUGCAUUCGCACGGGUCUAUUGAGUUUU
Molecule: long non-coding RNA, 2900 nt
Organism: Trifolium pratense (red clover)
Lineage: Eukaryota; Viridiplantae; Streptophyta; Magnoliopsida; Fabales; Fabaceae
Exons: 3
Source: RefSeq, a predicted model, not a curated record